GACGAACGCUGGCGGCGUGCUUAACACAUGCAAGUCGAACGGAAAGGCCCUGCUUUUGUGGGGUGCUCGAGUGGCGAACGGGUGAGUAACAAGUGAGUAACCUGCCCUUGACUUUGGGAUAACUUCAGGAAACUGGGGCUAAUAACGGAUAGGAGCUCCUGCUGCAUGGUGGGGGUUGGAAAGUUUCGGCGGUUGGGGAUGGACUCGCGGCUUAUCAGCUUGUUGGUGGGGUAGUGGCUUACCAAGGCUUUGACGGGUAGCCGGCCUGAGAGGGUGACCGGCCACAAUAGGACUGAGAUACGGCCCAGACUCCUACAGGAGGCAGCAGUGGGGAAUAUUGCACAAUGGGCGGAAGCCUGAUGCAGCAACGCCGCGUGCGGGAUGACGGCCUUCGGGGUGUAAACCGCUUUCGCCUGUGACGAAGCGUGAGCGACGGUAAUAGGUAAAGAAGCACCGGCUAACUACGUG
This 468-nucleotide ribosomal RNA is filed under the name uncultured bacterium. RNAcentral's name for it is "partial 16S ribosomal RNA". It matches the Rfam family "Bacterial small subunit ribosomal RNA", at positions 28 to 507 of the family's 1533-position model. The record is from RNAcentral.